GUGGGCCAAUGUUGGCAAAUUUCAUGGUGGGCCCAAACUUUGAGGGACACUUGGCACCUAGGGUUUCUUUUUAUUUUUCGAUGGACCUCACCCUAGCAUAGAGGGACUCACGACCUUGUAGCUGCAGCCGACACUUACUCUGACAUUCCUUUUGCUUGUUAACGUUUUCUUUGGAGGUUGGGAGGCCUUUGGAACAUUUUUUUUUAGUUUUCUUUCAAUGAUGGUGAUUUUAUUUGAUUUUGGGUGAAAUGGUGUCCAGCAGCUACUUUCUUUUAAGUUUUCCUGGAGCUUUUAUUUUGCUACAUUUAAUACACUGAUUGAGGGGGCCUGCCGUCACACUUUGAUUUUAUUUUGAUUUUGCUGGAGAGGACUCGGCUGGAUGAAAGUUACACUUUCAUAGUUUUUUUUCUUAAUUCAAAUAGAAGCGUUGAUUUUUUUUUUUUUUAUUUUGCUUUUAAGAGAAUGCAGGAGCAUGUAGAGUUUGAAGGUUUGGUUCCUUUCCCUUGCUUUUGGAGGAUACGCAUAUUCCAAUUACUUUGUGCAAAUUAGUUUACUUUAAAAAAAAAAAGCUUGAGCUAGAGAUGACGGGGCAUUUGGUAGCAGUAGGUGUUCACUUUUUUUUUUAAUUCUUUGAGAAUGAAAUAAUUGAUUUUCCUUUAUUUUAUUUUUGCUUGCACUGUGAAUGUAAGAAGGCUUCACGUGAAAGAGUAGCUUAUUUUAUUACUUUUGUUUAGGAAAUCAAUCGGUGAAUUGUGUUAGCUUCAUUUGCUUGGAGAAAAUGAUAUAGCACAGUCUGCAGCCAUCCUUU
RNAcentral lists this long non-coding RNA (808 nucleotides) under Vigna radiata. RNAcentral describes it as "long non-coding RNA (VRAD_LNC010611)". The record is from RNAcentral. Lineage: Eukaryota; Viridiplantae; Streptophyta; Magnoliopsida; Fabales; Fabaceae.